CUAUGCUAGGUGGGGAGGUAGCGGUGCCCUAUAACUCGCAAUCCGCUUUAGCGAGACUGAAGUCCUUUUCGAGGCUGUCCGUAUGUUUGGUCUGCCUCGUGCACGUAGUGUUGAAGAUUGGGUCCUGCGCAAUGAGCGCUUAUGAACCAUGUCAGGUCCGGAAGGAAGCAGCAUUAAGUAGGUUAACUCAUGUGCCGUGGGGUAGCCUGAUCUGAGCUGGCGACAGGAGUAACGCUUGUGUACGGCAGUCGAAGAAAGGUGCAUGG
RNAcentral lists this signal recognition particle RNA (266 nucleotides) under Kurthia populi. Its description in RNAcentral is "signal recognition particle sRNA large type". It matches the Rfam family "Bacterial large signal recognition particle RNA". From Rfam's summary of the family: The signal recognition particle (SRP) is a universally conserved ribonucleoprotein involved in the co-translational targeting of proteins to membranes. Archaeal SRP consists of a 7S RNA and homologues of the eukaryotic SRP19 and SRP54 proteins. Lineage: Bacteria; Bacillati; Bacillota; Bacilli; Caryophanales; Caryophanaceae. RNAcentral also lists the same sequence under 1 other name. The record is from RNAcentral.